This 468-nucleotide ribosomal RNA is filed under the name uncultured Comamonadaceae bacterium. RNAcentral's name for it is "bacterial SSU rRNA". It matches the Rfam family "Bacterial small subunit ribosomal RNA", at positions 338 to 798 of the family's 1533-position model. The record is from RNAcentral. Lineage: Bacteria; Pseudomonadati; Pseudomonadota; Betaproteobacteria; Burkholderiales; Comamonadaceae.
CCUACGGGUGGCAGCAGUGGGGAAUUUUGGACAAUGGGGGCAACCCUGAUCCAGCAAUGCCGCGUGCAGGAAGAAGGCCUUCGGGUUGUAAACUGCUUUUGUCAGGGAAGAAAUCCUUUGGGCUAAUACCUCGGGGGGAUGACGGUACCUGAAGAAUAAGCACCGGCUAACUACGUGCCAGCAGCCGCGGUAAUACGUAGGGUGCGAGCGUUAAUCGGAAUUACUGGGCGUAAAGCGUGCGCAGGCGGUUUGGUAAGACAGGGGUGAAAGCCCCGGGCUCAACCUGGGAACUGCCUUUGUGACUGCAAGGCUGGAGUACGGCAGAGGGGGAUGGAAUUCCGCGUGUAGCAGUGAAAUGCGUAGAUAUGCGGAGGAACACCGAUGGCGAAGGCAAUCCCCUGGGCCUGUACUGACGCUCAUGCACGAAAGCGUGGGGAGCAAACAGGAUUAGAUACCCCAGUAGUCCUU